Pelobates fuscus (common spadefoot toad) is the source of this 495-nucleotide non-coding RNA. Lineage: Eukaryota; Metazoa; Chordata; Amphibia; Anura; Pelobatidae. The record is from the annotation of a RefSeq genome assembly.
CAUUCCACAGUGAAUGCUUAAUGCAAUACAGUUUAAACGGACGGUUAUUCUCAUUCCAGGAAACUGAUAAGAUACAUCUCGUUGGGUGAAAUGUGGACAAUAUUCUCAUUGUUUGCGAUUCUCACCUUUCUACCAUGUCUGUGUCUUGGGGUGAAGGUUGAACAGGAUCCCAAGCUAAUCAUUGUUCCGGCUGGGAAACCAGCGGAGUUUCAAUGUAAACAUGAUGACAACAGCUAUAUUGCUAUGUUUUGGUACCAACAGCGGCCCGGACAGGGACUGAAGCUUAUGAUACAUUCUACAAGCGAAGAUGCUAAAAGCGAUGCAAUGGAAGAUGAGUUCAAGUCGUGGGCUUGGAACAGGAUGAGUCGUCUGGAAUUCAGCCUGAAAUUGCCCAACUCUCAGACUUCAGAUUCAGCCGUGUAUUUCUGUGCUGCUAGUAAACACAGCCACAAAUCCCUGUGCAGCACUGAGCACAAAACCUGCAGCAUAAUUUAG